Molecule: long non-coding RNA, 1262 nt
Filed under: Anser brachyrhynchus (Pink-footed goose)
Lineage: Eukaryota; Metazoa; Chordata; Aves; Anseriformes; Anatidae
Description: lncRNA (ENSABRG00000008832.1)
Source: RNAcentral
AUGAAGAAAAGCAUCAAGACUGUGAGCUUGUUUAAGCUCCGAGAGGUGCCUUAUCAAACAUCAAAUCUGACCAAGACUCAAAAGCUUUGUUCAUCAUUCGUCUCUUCAACAAGAGGUGUGACAGAGCAGAGUGCACGGUCCCAGGCUGCGAGGGAAGGAGAGGCUGGGAGUGUGGGAAGCUGCAGUGCUGGGAGUCCUCAGGCAAAGCAGGAGGCCCAGGUUCAGUAAAUUGCACAACUUGGAAGGAGCGUACAGUCCUACAGAGGGGUAUUAUGUGCCUCGGGUUAUGCAAGUGCUUAAGUGUUUUGCUGGAUACAGGCCCUAAUCUCUCACUAUCGUCUCCUAUCUUUAAAAUGGUAAUAAUGAUACCUCCAUCAAGGCAGGAAGCAAUUGAUUUAGUCACAGUUACAGAAAAGAAGGGGUCUAUGACUACCCAAAAUAACAAAAUAGCAGGAGAAACAGGGAAGUAUGUGGAAUAAUAUCCUGCAAUACCAAUUUUUCUAAGAAGCAGUUCUGUUUUGGAGAGUGAUUAAGUUAAACUGCUACCUUCUUUUGCUCUAGCUGAUCAUGUGCAUUUGAAAAAGAAAACUACCUACUGAAAUCUGCAGUUAAGAAACGGGAGCAAAGUGUAUCUGUUCCUUGCACAUCAUGAAUAGAUGCCUUCACACCUGAGCAAAGCCUCUGAAAGCACAAGUGUCCUAUUUGGCCUGAAGAACCAGAACAGGCUGUCUGAAUAGCAGCCUGACUUUACAGGAGCAGGAGUUAGCAAAAUCAUCAUUUUAUGCAUCACUGCUUUUGCUGCAAACACUCUUUGUCAAACACAGCCAGGUACUUACUGUGCUCUCUUUGAGAGUGGUCCCUGGGGAAUACUGUUCUCAACAUAACUGGGACAAACAAAACCUGGAAUGACAUCAUGAUGGCAUUUCUAGAUUACAGUUGCACCUAGAAUUAAGAUAAAAUAAGACUAACAUGUGGAAGUGUGCUUACGAUUGUAAUACUAAUAUUUCAUAAGCCAUAAGCUGUUUAUUCAGACAAAAGAUGUAGUUGUAGUCUGGUAAACUAAGGGGGAAGUUCGUCAAAGGGUGCUGGCCAAGCCAGUCUAACCGUUAACUGCUGGUGGUGGAGGCAGUGCUUCUUCCUGCUGCCUCACUGCCCUGGGCUACCUCGCCUUCCUCGUGCUGGCUCAGGUACUUCAGUUCAGUUCCGCUCCCCGAACCUGUAAAAACAAACUCCAAUAAAAGCCAGAAAAGGGAUGUUUUUCA